GAAACAAAGAGGGCACUAAUGUGGCAAAAUGUUAGCAUGUCUUAAAUCUGGAUGGAAGGUUUGAAUUUAUUAAGGAAAAUAAAAGAAAAAGAAAACACAAACAGACUACAUCUAAAAACUUCCAUGGAAACCUCAGACAUAUUUUUUUUCAUUGUUUAAAGGAUCAGUAUCUUCCCUAACUUUAAAAGAAAGUAAGCAUUUCCCCCACUCCUCUACCUCCAUUGAAUACAUCAUCUCAUGCUAUCUUUUCUAACUCCAUCAUGUUCUUUUGCCCUUUCUCUUCCCACCAAAAUCACACUCUUUCAGGUUCAUUACCAAAUCUGUCAUGGUCAUGAACAUUACCAUGUAUUUAGUGAUAUAUAUUUCCAAAUGUAUUUUUCUCUCCCUAGAGCCUCUUGCCUGUCCAUUCAUCCAAAGCUUCCAGGACAAAUUCAAUUUUGAUGAGGAAAAUACCCUUUUCAAAAUCUGACACUGGUUCUCCAACUGCUAUAUACCAUGGUCCAAACUCCUCAGCUGGGUGUUUGAAGUCCUCCG
This 534-nucleotide long non-coding RNA is filed under the name Marmota monax (woodchuck). The record is from RNAcentral. Lineage: Eukaryota; Metazoa; Chordata; Mammalia; Rodentia; Sciuridae.